This 253-nucleotide ribosomal RNA is filed under the name uncultured bacterium. Its description in RNAcentral is "partial 16S ribosomal RNA". It matches the Rfam family "Bacterial small subunit ribosomal RNA", at positions 524 to 776 of the family's 1533-position model. The record is from RNAcentral.
UACGUAGGGCGCAAGCGUUAUCCGGAAUUAUUGGGCGUAAAGAGCUCGUAGGCGGUUUGUCGCGUCUGCCGUGAAAGUCCGGGGCUCAACUCCGGAUCUGCGGUGGGUACGGGCAGACUAGAGUGAUGUAGGGGAGACUGGAAUUCCUGGUGUAGCGGUGAGAUGCGCAGAUAUCAGGAGGAACACCGGUGGCGAAGGCGGGUCUCUGGGCCGUAACUGACGCUGAGGAGCGAAAGCAUGGGGAGCGAACAGG